AGUUUGGCUGCGAAAUGUUGUAAAAUGAAGAAAGUAUAGCCCUACGAAAUUUGCAAAUUUUGUAUUGAUUUGUAUUACGCACGGGAGAAUGAUGCACCACUUUCGGCCCAAAUGUGGUGCAUUUUCCCUGCGUAAUACAAAUUAACACAAAAUUUGCAAAUUUCGUAGGGCCAUAUUUAUUUUCUGCAUUUUACAACAUUUCACGGCUAAACU
This is a non-coding RNA of Paramuricea clavata, 213 nucleotides long. The record is from the annotation of a GenBank genome assembly. Lineage: Eukaryota; Metazoa; Cnidaria; Anthozoa; Malacalcyonacea; Plexauridae.